RNAcentral lists this transfer RNA (65 nucleotides) under Serranidae sp. JL-2015. RNAcentral describes it as "tRNA-Cys". Lineage: Eukaryota; Metazoa; Chordata; Actinopteri; Perciformes; Serranidae. The record is from RNAcentral.
AGCCCUGAGGUGUUCAACAUACUACCUUGCUAUCUGGAUAGGUAGACUAAUCCCUGCCGGGGCUU